GCUGGCGGCGUGCUUAACACAUGCAAGUCGCACGAGAACGCUUCAGCUUGCUGAAGUUAGUAAAGUGGCGCACGGGUGAGUAACGCGUGGGUAAUCUACCCCCGAAUUGGGGAUAACAUUGCGAAAGCGAUGCUAAUACCGAAUGAUAUCUUAAGUCCUUAGGUAUUUAAGAUCAAAGAUGGCCUCUACAUGUAAGCUAUUGUUUGGGGAUGAGCCCGCGUACCAUUAGCUUGUUGGUAGGGUAAUGGCCUACCAAGGCUGCGAUGGUUAGCUGGUCUGAGAGGAUGAUCAGCCACACUGGAACUGACACACGGUCCAGACUCCUACGGGAGGCAGCAGUGAGGAAUUUUGCGCAAUGGGGGAAACCCUGACGCAGCAACGCCGCGUGAGUGAUGAAGGCUUUCGGGUCGUAAAGCUCUGUCAAGUGGGAAGAACCCACGUGGUGCUAAUAUCACCAUGUGCUGACGGU
RNAcentral lists this ribosomal RNA (469 nucleotides) under uncultured delta proteobacterium. Its description in RNAcentral is "bacterial SSU rRNA". It matches the Rfam family "Bacterial small subunit ribosomal RNA", at positions 35 to 476 of the family's 1533-position model. Lineage: Bacteria; Deltaproteobacteria. The record is from RNAcentral.